GGCUCAGAUUGAACGCUGGCGGCAUGCUUUACACAUGCAAGUCGAACGGCAGCACGAAAGAGCUUGCUCUUUUGGUGGCGAGUGGCGAACGGGUGAGUAAUACAUUGGAACGUACCGAGUAAUGGGGGAUAACUGUCCGAAAGGAUGGCUAAUACCGCAUACGCUCUGAGGAGGAAAGCGGGGGACCUUCGGGCCUCGCGUUAUUCGAGCGGCCAAUGUCUGAUUAGCUAGUUGGUGGGGUAAAGGCCUACCAAGGCGAUGAUCAGUAGUGGGUCUGAGAGGAUGAUCCGCCACACUGGGACUGAGACACGGCCCAGACUCCUACGGGAGGCAGCAGUGGGGAAUUUUGGACAAUGGGCGAAAGCCUGAUCCAGCCAUGCCGCGUGUCUGAAGAAGGCCUUCGGGUUGUAAAGGACUUUUGUCAGGGAAGAAAGGGUUUGGGUUAAUACCCUGAGCUUAUGAC
This 463-nucleotide ribosomal RNA is filed under the name Neisseria sp. KH1504. RNAcentral's name for it is "bacterial SSU rRNA". It matches the Rfam family "Bacterial small subunit ribosomal RNA", at positions 21 to 473 of the family's 1533-position model. The record is from RNAcentral. Lineage: Bacteria; Pseudomonadati; Pseudomonadota; Betaproteobacteria; Neisseriales; Neisseriaceae.